Long non-coding RNA from Aphis gossypii (cotton aphid), 1105 nucleotides. RefSeq lists it as uncharacterized. The record is from RefSeq and is a predicted model, not a curated record. The transcript is spliced from 3 exons. Lineage: Eukaryota; Metazoa; Arthropoda; Insecta; Hemiptera; Aphididae.
UUUGUGAUGUUUAUAUUGAAAAUUAUUAUCAGCCGACAAACAGAACCCAUUGAAUGGGAGAAGACAAUGAAGUUUCAUUAGUUCUUUAUUGUUAUCGGUCCGGGAAAUAAUGCUUAUAUGGAAAAUUGUCCCUUGGGGGUAUUUAAAUAGGCUGACAGAAUAAAUUAACUUUGUUACGACUAUUCACCACGGUAGAAAUUAAUUAUAAUCAUCGCUAAAUGCUGCGAUAUCCUUAUCACUUGUUGAUAUUAAUGUUGAUAUUGUUGAACAUCUUUCGGAGGACAACGCAAAAUCGCAAAAAAAAAAAUAUAUAAAGUGGUGUCACAUAUUAUGUAGUGCAGUUGGCGAAUAUGUUUUCCCCGAGUGGCAGUAACGAAAACAUGUUUUUCCUUGUUGCCAGGCGAAUAAAUGAUGAGGUGUCGUAUAAAAAUAAUAUACAUGUAUAUAAAGCCACUACCCACAAAGUCAUAUUAUUUUUUGGUUACUCGACAUGAGUAAUAAACAAGAGGAAAAAAAUAACACAGUGGAAAACUACACGACAAUUGAAAUGAUAAGUUUGAAAAUAGACCAUAAAAUACAAACUUACGGUGUAGGUUUCAGUUAGAUCGAGACGAUUUGCUUUCAAGGAAAACGCAAAUACGACAUUUGUAUAUUUUGAACAGAUUUCUUGAUGAUUUUUUUUCUUGUCAAACAGCUUUGAUAAACUACGUAUAAUGUACAUGCGAUAUAUGUCGAACAGAUUUAUCGCUGAUUUCUGCGGUUGGCAUCAAAGCGCCAAUUAGAAUUAACCAAAACCAAAAUCAGAAAUGUUGUGAAGUUUUAUCUCUACCAAGGCGAAAGUUAUAACAUUUGGAAAGGAUUUAUCUUCAAUGCGUCAUUAUGGUUGAUUGGUCUACACCAUCAUUGAAGCGAAACAAUCACUGAACAAAACGUGCAAAUCCAAGAUAAACACAAUACGAUGGAAAUCACUAGUCAUAUUUAUUUUUUUUAUUGUUCAUCAUUUUUUGAUGGACGUUAUUCAACCAUUAACAAGUCUCAAAAAUGUGGCUACACAAUUACGUAAAUUUAAAAUUUAAAUUAUCUUUGUUUUAAAUCAAGAUUAUAU